GACGUGGUGGCCUAAUGGUUAGCGCGUUGGACUCCGGAUCGAGCUGUCUGGGUUCAAGCCCUGGCUGGGCGUCA
Molecule: non-coding RNA, 74 nt
Organism: Desmophyllum pertusum
Lineage: Eukaryota; Metazoa; Cnidaria; Anthozoa; Scleractinia; Caryophylliidae
Source: the annotation of a GenBank genome assembly